This 92-nucleotide transfer RNA is filed under the name Felis catus (domestic cat). It matches the Rfam family "tRNA". Rfam says of the family: Transfer RNA (tRNA) molecules are approximately 80 nucleotides in length. The record is from Rfam by way of RNAcentral. RNAcentral also lists the same sequence under 2 other names. Lineage: Eukaryota; Metazoa; Chordata; Mammalia; Carnivora; Felidae.
GCCUGGGUGGCUCAGUCGGUUGAGCGUCUGACCCUUGAUUUCAGCUCAGGUCAUGAUCUCACAGUUCGUGGGUUCGAGCCCCACCUUGGGCU